GACGAACCGUGCAAACGUUGUUCGGAAUCACUGGGCUUAAAGAGCGUGUAGGCGGCCAGACAAGUCUGCUGUGAAAACUCGAGGCUCAACCUCGAGCUGUCGGUGGAAACUGUCUGGCUAGAGUCCGGAAGAGGAGAGUGGAAUUCCUGGUGUAGCGGUGAAAUGCGCAGAUAUCAGGAAGAACACCUAUGGCGAAGGCAGCUCUCUGGGACGGUACUGACGCUGAGACGCGAAAGCGUGGGGAGCGAACAGG
RNAcentral lists this ribosomal RNA (253 nucleotides) under uncultured bacterium. RNAcentral describes it as "partial 16S ribosomal RNA". It matches the Rfam family "Bacterial small subunit ribosomal RNA", at positions 524 to 776 of the family's 1533-position model. The record is from RNAcentral.